Molecule: transfer RNA, 71 nt
Filed under: Megastomatohyla pellita (Oaxacan yellow treefrog)
Lineage: Eukaryota; Metazoa; Chordata; Amphibia; Anura; Hylidae
Description: partial tRNA-Ile
Rfam family: tRNA
About the family: Transfer RNA (tRNA) molecules are approximately 80 nucleotides in length. Their secondary structure includes four short double-helical elements and three loops (D, anti-codon, and T loops).
Source: RNAcentral
GGAAAUGUGCCCGAAAGUAAAGGAUCUCCUUGAUAGGGAGAACAAUAGGGGUUCAAACCCCCUCACUUCCU